RNAcentral lists this long non-coding RNA (356 nucleotides) under Dromaius novaehollandiae (emu). Its description in RNAcentral is "lncRNA (ENSDNVG00000014553.1)". The record is from RNAcentral. Lineage: Eukaryota; Metazoa; Chordata; Aves; Casuariiformes; Dromaiidae.
CCUGCCUGCCUGUGGAAAGGAGCUAAACGGCACGAGGAGAGGUAGAGGUGGGAGAUCACAGUGUGGGAGGCAGCAGUGUCCUCACCCAAACAGCUGGGUCAAACGCAAGGGUCGUCCAGCGCAGCGACGUGUCUCCAGUGGCCAGGAGUGGACACCAAGGAACACACRACAGGGCAAGCACCCACUGCUGUUUCCUCAAAAUGCCCUCGCAGCCUUCAGCAGCUUGGAGCUUGAGGACUUCCUGAGACAGCCUUGGCCCCAAGAGGCGAGUAAYGCUUAAAACGCUCGUUGCGUGGGUUUCAGAGAGGGGACGUGGAAGAACCCAUCAGCCUUCCUUUUUCCAGCGUUUGAAAAGG